GCGGGUGUAGUUUAGUGGUAAAACCUCAGCCUUCCAAGCUGAUGACGGGGGUUCGAUUCCCCUCACCCGCUCCA
Molecule: transfer RNA, 74 nt
Filed under: Salimicrobium album
Lineage: Bacteria; Bacillati; Bacillota; Bacilli; Caryophanales; Bacillaceae
Also listed under: 3 other names
Description: tRNA_Gly_TCC
Rfam family: tRNA
About the family: Transfer RNA (tRNA) molecules are approximately 80 nucleotides in length.
Source: RNAcentral